AUCUUGAUUUGCAAACUUUAUUUAGCGAGGAACAAUUGGAGGGCAAGUCUGGUGCCAGCAGCCGCGGUAAUUCCAGCUCCAAUAGUGUAUAUUAAUGUUCCUGCAGUUAUUCGAUGCUCGUAGUUGGAUUUCUGGGGGCUGAGAUUGGAAGGUGGCCAAGGUCACCGCCGAACUCUUCCUUCAUCCACCUGUUAACGUUGUCCGGGAUUUGUUUCUCGGCUUCAGGCUCAGGUAUUUUACCCUUUCUAUAUAUUCAUUUAUUUAUCUUCUUUUUGAGUAAAUUAUAGUGUUUCAGGCAGGCGUGCGCCGGAAUACUUCAGCAUGGAAUAAUCGAAUUGGACCGUGUAUUCUUAUAGAAUUCUUCCUUAUUUGUUGGUUUCAAGGACACGGAAAUGGUUAAUAGGGAUAGUGUUUUCAGGGGAGGCAUUAGUAUUUAAUUUCCAGAGGUGAAAUUCUUUGAAAUAUUAAAGACUAACUUAUGCGAAAGCAUUUAUUUUGCCAAUAAUGUUUUCAUUAAUCAUUGAACGAAAGUUAGGGGAUCAAAGACGAUCAGAUACCGUCCUAGUCUUAACCAUAAACGUUGCCGACUAGGGAUCGGAGGGCGUGCACAUUCCGCCUUCGGCACCUUACGAGAAAUCAAAGUCUUUUGGGUUCUGGGGGUAGUAUGGUCGCAAGGCUGAAACUUAAAGGAAUUGACGGAAGGGCACCACCAGGAGUGGAGCUUGCGGCUCAAUUUGACUCAACACGGGAAAUCUUACCAGGUCCAGACAUAGCGAGGAUUGACAGAUUGAUAGCUCUUUCUUGAUCCUAUGGGUAUUUAUUUUAAUUUUGGUGGUGCAUGGCCGUUCUUAGUUGGUGGAGUGAUUUGUCUGGUUAAUUCCGUUAAACGAACGAGACCUCAGCCUGCUAAAUAGUUACCUGUCUUUCUUUUACGAGACUUGAUAACUUCUUAGAGGGACGUUGUGUGCAACCACAAGGAAGUUGAGGCAAUAACAGGUCUGUGAUGCCCUUAGAUGUCCUGGGCCGCACGCGUGCUACACUGAUACGUACAACAAGGUAUAUGCAUUUAUGCAUCGAUGCUGCUCCGAAAUAGACACAGCUAAAUCUUCUAAAAUACGUAUCGUGCUGCGGAUAGAUCGUUGAAAUUAUGGAUCUUGAAGGUGGAAUUCCUAGUAAGCGCGGGUCAUCAACCCGCGUUGAUUACGUCCCUGCCCUUUGUACACACCGCCCGUCGCUCCUACCAAUUUCGAGUGGCUCGGUGAACCUCUUUGGACUGUCGAGCAAUCGCGAAAUUAGAGUGAACCUGGUCAC
RNAcentral lists this ribosomal RNA (1311 nucleotides) under metagenome. RNAcentral's name for it is "SSU rRNA". It matches the Rfam family "Eukaryotic small subunit ribosomal RNA", at positions 508 to 1772 of the family's 1831-position model. The record is from RNAcentral.